GCCAGUGUGGCAUAGUGGUUUGAGCACUGGACUAUGACUCUGGAGACCAGGGUUUGAAUCCUGGCCCAGCCA
Molecule: transfer RNA, 72 nt
Filed under: Phrynosoma platyrhinos (Desert horned lizard)
Lineage: Eukaryota; Metazoa; Chordata; Lepidosauria; Squamata; Phrynosomatidae
Description: tRNA-OTHER
Source: RNAcentral